This 502-nucleotide ribosomal RNA is filed under the name uncultured bacterium. RNAcentral's name for it is "bacterial SSU rRNA". It matches the Rfam family "Bacterial small subunit ribosomal RNA", at positions 26 to 521 of the family's 1533-position model. The record is from RNAcentral.
AGAUUGAACGCUGGCGGCAUGCCUAACACAUGCAAGUCGAACGGCAGCGCGGGAGCUUGCUCCUGGCGGCGAGUGGCGGACGGGUGAGUAACGCGCAGGAAUCUGCCUGGUAGCGGGGGACAACUCGGGGAAACUCGAGCUAAUACCGCAUACGCCCUACGGGGGAAAGCGGGGGACCUUCGGGCCUCGCACUAUCAGAUGAGCCUGCGUCCGAUUAGCUUGUUGGUGAGGUAAUGGCUCACCAAGGCGACGAUCGGUAGCUGGUCUGAGAGGAUGAUCAGCCACACUGGGACUGAGACACGGCCCAGACUCCUACGGGAGGCAGCAGUGGGGAAUAUUGGACAAUGGGCGCAAGCCUGAUCCAGCAAUGCCGCGUGUGUGAAGAAGGCCUGCGGGUUGUAAAGCACUUUCAGUGGGGAAGAAAAGCCGCCGGCUAAUACCCGGCAGUCCUGACAUUACCCACAGAAGAAGCACCGGCUAACUCCGUGCCAGCAGCCGCGGU